RNAcentral lists this ribosomal RNA (441 nucleotides) under uncultured bacterium. RNAcentral describes it as "partial 16S ribosomal RNA". It matches the Rfam family "Bacterial small subunit ribosomal RNA", at positions 338 to 795 of the family's 1533-position model. The record is from RNAcentral.
CCUACGGGUGGCAGCAGUGGGGAAUCUUGCACAAUGGGGGAAACCCUGAUGCAGCGACGCCGCGUGAGUGAAGAAGUAUUUCGGUAUGUAAAGCUCUAUCAGCAGGAACGAGACAAGACGGUAGCUGACUAAGAAGCCCCGGCUAACUACGUGCCAGCAGCCGCGGUAAUACGUAGGGGGCAAGCGUUAUCCGGAAUCACUGGGUGGAAAGGGAGCGUAGACGGCUGAGCAAGCCUGAAGUGAAAGGCGGGGGCCCAACCCCCGGACUGCUUUGGGAACUGGACGGCUUGAGUGCAGGAGAGGUAAGUGGAAUUCCAAGUGUAGCGGUGAAAUGCGUAGAUAUUAGGAGGAACACCAGUGGCGAAGGCGGCUUACUGGACUGUAACUGACGUUGAGGCUCGAAAGCGUGGGGAGCAAACAGGAUUAGAUACCCCAGUAGUC